CAAAGAAAUCACCAGCGGCUUGGAAAAAAACUACCGUCGCGACACAACAAGAUAGAUUUGGUUUUGUUUUCAGCAGAUCAAAUCCAGUUCUUUUCAGAACUUAAAAUUGCUUUGAAGUGUAAGAGUUUAAAAAAUACUGCGUUAAAGUACAUUCAUUUUGUAAUUUCUUCGAUCAAGUGCGAUCAACGUAAGAUUACCUUUUUCGGGAACUUAUUAGGGGUACAAUGAAUCUUCAGAAAGACAAUUCAUUCCCACUCGACGCUCACCGGAAAACAUUGUUCACUUAACAAUUUCUCAAACGGAAAGUGGGUUGUCACCGCAAGAAUCACGAUAUUUUAGAGCGUGUUUCAUUCCGCGUUCAGACCGCGCUCUAUCAUGAACAAAUGUAAGAAGGAUGAAAAGUAAACAAUAGCAGGCCGCAUAGAUUGACUUAACGCACCAUAUGCAAUGAAUGCAAUAAAGUUUAGGCCAAGACGGGUCUAUGGUACUAGGUGAGGCCGUUUCGUCACUAAGUUGGUGAGGGGAGCGGUAUAUGAAAACAGCACGGAAGAAAGCAGAAGGGGAAUUAUUUGCUUGAAGCGUGAAAGAAACAGACUAAUCACGAGCGAGCUUCGGCAAUAGCGUAUUGUGUUUUGUUUACAAACAAAACACAGUAGACUUCCAAGAUGGCUGAAGAGUGGUUUUAGCAAGUUGGCCCACCUUAGGAUAUACUUCUAGGCGCCUUGGUUUAGGCAUCACGGAGCUUAUCUCCGUGUAAAUGACGAAUGACGGGAGAAACCUCAAAUAGCUCGCUUAAGCAAUGAAAGCAGGUCCAAGGAAUCCCUCUCGAAGGGAUUGGUGUAACAAAAUGUAAUUGCUGCUCUACGGUCUUGGUGUUUUAAGACUGCUGGACAGAAAGGAAAUAAACUAGGAUAAGUAAAUAUAGGGAAAAUCUUGCAUAGAAAGAACAAACUCGGAAUGAAUAAAGCACUUAUAAUCCGACCACGGACGGAGGAGCGUCGUGGGUCACAAGAAAACCACGCUAACAUCGUAACCUAAUAUCACAGCCUAGAAGUCGGCCCCGCCAGGAAAAAAGGACAGCCAGGAAAACUUACAGGAGCAGCCAAAGAGUGGUACCACCGGUAGAUCAGUAGACGCAUCCCUUCAGUUGUGCCUUCUACGUGAUCCGGCCUACCGUGAGCGUCCAAUAAAGACACCCCCCUUAUCUUCACUAGAGACUAGGAGCCACAUUUGGUGUCUUCAGAGUGAAAUCUUCCUCGAAUUACUAACUAGUCGAGCUAGUAGCCGUAAUGAGUGUUGUGAGGAAGGACAGAGCGAGCGCAAAAUUUAUACAGACUGAUUGGAAGCGACAGAUAUUUUGUCUAUUGGAAAUUACAUACAAAUUACAAAAUAAAAGGUAUGGUAUAUGGUAAAAAGAACAUGGUAUAAAAAAACAAAAACAAUGAUAUACAAAAUACAAAAAAAAAAAAGAGUUUUGAAAUUAGUGACAAGCAAUGUAUAGGCCAAACAAGAGUAAG
Long non-coding RNA from Toxorhynchites rutilus septentrionalis, 1517 nucleotides. RefSeq lists it as uncharacterized. The record is from RefSeq and is a predicted model, not a curated record. NCBI's taxonomy places the organism in Eukaryota, Metazoa, Arthropoda, Insecta, Diptera, Culicidae. The transcript is spliced from 3 exons.